ACGUAGGGGGCAAGCGUUAAUCGGAAUUACUGGGCGUAAAGCGUGCGCAGGCGGUUCGGAAAGAAGGAUGUGAAAUCCCAGGGCUCAACCUUGGAACUGCAGUCUUAACUAGCGGACUAGAGUAUGUGAGAGGGGGGUAGAAUUCCGGGUGUAGCGGUGAAAUGCGUAGAUAUCGGGAGGAAUACCAGUGGCGAAGGCGGGCUCCUGGGUCAUGACGGACGCGGAGGCGCGAAAGCGAGGGGAGCGAACGG
RNAcentral lists this ribosomal RNA (251 nucleotides) under uncultured prokaryote. RNAcentral describes it as "partial 16S rRNA". It matches the Rfam family "Bacterial small subunit ribosomal RNA", at positions 525 to 775 of the family's 1533-position model. The record is from RNAcentral.